AUUAAUACCUUAUAGUAAUACGACUUGGCAUCAAGAUGUAUUUAAAGAUUUAUCGGUGAAAGAUGAGCAUGCGUCCCAUUAGCUAGUUGGUAUGGUAACGGCAUACCAAGGCUACGAUGGGUAGGGGUCCUGAGAGGGAGAUCCCCCACACUGGUACUGAGACACGGACCAGACUCCUACGGGAGGCAGCAGUGAGGAAUAUUGGACAAUGGGCGCAAGCCUGAUCCAGCCAUGCCGCGUGCAGGAUGACGGUCCUAUGGAUUGUAAACUGCUUUUAUACAGGAAGAAACACCUCUACGUGUAGAGACUUGACGGUACUGUAAGAAUAAGGAUCGGCUAACUCCGUGCCAGCAGCCGCGGUAAUACGGAGGAUCCAAGCGUUAUCCGGAAUCAUUGGGUUUAAAGGGUCCGUAGGCGGUCAGAUAAGUCAGUGGUGAAAGCCCAUCGCUCAACGGUGGAACGGCCAUUGAUACUGUCUGACUUGAAUUAUUAGGAAGUAACUAGAAUAUGUAGUGUAGCGGUGAAAUGCUUAGAGAUUACAUGGAAUACCAAUUGCGAAGGCAGGUUACUACUAAUAUAUUGACGCUGAUGGACGAAAGCGUGGGUAGCGAACAGGAUUAGAUACCCUGGUAGUCCACGCCGUAAACGAUGGAUACUAGCUGUUGGGAGCAAUCUCAGUGGCUAAGCGAAAGUGAUAAGUAUCCCACCUGGGGAGUACGAACGCAAGUUUGAAACUCAAAGGAAUUGACGGGGGCCCGCACAAGCGGUGGAGCAUGUGGUUUAAUUCGAUGAUACGCGAGGAACCUUACCAAGGCUUAAAUGUAGAUUGACCGGUUUGGAAACAGAUCUUUCGCAAGACAAUUACAAGGUG
This 871-nucleotide ribosomal RNA is filed under the name Flavobacterium degerlachei. RNAcentral describes it as "bacterial SSU rRNA". It matches the Rfam family "Bacterial small subunit ribosomal RNA", at positions 162 to 1040 of the family's 1533-position model. Lineage: Bacteria; Pseudomonadati; Bacteroidota; Flavobacteriia; Flavobacteriales; Flavobacteriaceae. The record is from RNAcentral.